UCAGGAUGAACGCUAGCGACAGGCUUAACACAUGCGAAGUCGGGGGGCGAGCAUAAAAGUAGCAAUACUUGGUGGCGACCGGCGCACGGGUGAGUAACGCGUAUGCAACCUACCUAUCAGAGGGGAAUAACCCGGCGAAAGUCGGACUAAUACCGCAUAAAACAGGGGCACCGCAUGGUGAUAUUUGUUAAAGAAAUUCGCUGAUAGAUGGGCAUGCGUUCCAUUAGGUAGUUGGUGAGGUAACGGCUCACCAAGCCGACGAUGGAUAGGGGAACUGAGAGGUUGGUCCCCCACACUGGUACUGAGACACGGACCAGACUCCUACGGGAGGCAGCAGUGAGGAAUAUUGGUCAAUGGGCGGGAGCCUGAACCAGCCAAGUCGCCGUGAAGGAAGAAGGAUCUAUGGUUCGUAAACUUCUUUUGCAGGGGAAUAAAGUGCAGGACGUGUCCUGUUUUGUAUGUACCCUGAGAAUAAGGAUCGGCUAACUCCGUGCCAGCCGCCGC
Molecule: ribosomal RNA, 504 nt
Filed under: uncultured bacterium
Lineage: Bacteria
Description: bacterial SSU rRNA
Rfam family: Bacterial small subunit ribosomal RNA
Source: RNAcentral